RNAcentral lists this ribosomal RNA (497 nucleotides) under uncultured bacterium. RNAcentral describes it as "partial 16S ribosomal RNA". It matches the Rfam family "Bacterial small subunit ribosomal RNA", at positions 28 to 507 of the family's 1533-position model. The record is from RNAcentral.
GAUGAACGCUGGCGGCGUGCCUAAUACAUGCAAGUCGAGCGAACAGACGAGAAGCUUGCUUCUCUGAUGUUAGCGGCGGACGGGUGAGUAACACGUGGAUAACCUACCUAUAAGACUGGGAUAACUUCGGGAAACCGGAGCUAAUACCGGAUAAUAUUUUGAACCGCAUGGUUCAACAGUGAAAGACGGUCUUGCUGUCACUUAUAGAUGGAUCCGCGCUGCAUUAGCUAGUUGGUAAGGUAACGGCUUACCAAGGCAACGAUGCAUAGCCGACCUGAGAGGGUGAUCGGCCACACUGGAACUGAGACACGGUCCAGACUCCUACGGGAGGCAGCAGUAGGGAAUCUUCCGCAAUGGGCGAAAGCCUGACGGAGCAACGCCGCGUGAGUGGUGAAGGUCUUCGGAUCGUAAAACUCUGUUAUUAGGGAAGAACAUAUGUGUAAGUAACUGUGCACAUCUUGACGGUACCUAAUCAGAAAGCCACGGCUAACUACGUG